Molecule: long non-coding RNA, 663 nt
Organism: Chenopodium quinoa (quinoa)
Lineage: Eukaryota; Viridiplantae; Streptophyta; Magnoliopsida; Caryophyllales; Amaranthaceae
Exons: 3
Source: RefSeq, a predicted model, not a curated record
CUCCUUUUUUUUUGGAUGAAAUUGCCCUUGCAUGCAAUACUCCUUAUUUUCUUUUCCCUUUUUUAUUGCUUCAUCGUUCAUAAAAGCUAUUUGUCUAUCUCUCUCAUCUGAGUCUAAUUCUCACUUUCCAUGGAAGUGGUUCGUAGUUUUGUUAUGUCAUUUUGAAUAUUUUUUGUACGAAUUUCUUUCUUUGAAUUCCGAAUUCCAAAAUAGUGUGAUUUAAAUUAGGUUUUUAUUUAUCGGAAAAGUAUAUUCGAAUUCGAAUGGUGGGAUAGUGGCGGUGGUGGUAGCGGUGGUUUCCGUGAUUGUCUGAUUACUGAGAAUUACGCCGGAUUGAUUUUCAUGCAUUAAUUUGCAGUGUUUUCGAUUUGUGAAUUGAAGCACGAGUUUAGCUUGAGGACAACAUAUUAAGCUCAAGUGGGUAGUUGCUAUAUAGAUUUCGCAUGGAAGCAAAUCUUCAAAGAGAAAGAUGGUGGAGAAUCCUAAAAGAAUUGAUCAACCUAAGAAGAAGCUAAGUGAACAAAGGUCCAAGAGUGAACAAGCGUCGAAGUUGCACUCUUCGAAAGGUUCACCCAUGCAACCUACUCCACUAUUUGAAGACAUUGUUCUUCAAUUGCUCUUUUCUGACAUGACCUUUCUUCACAACCGUGCUUUUCAUUUGGU